CUAAGCGAUCUAGAUUGUUAGUGGCGGACGGGUGAGUAACACGUUGGAACCUUACCCCGAAGUGAGGAAUAACUGCCCGAAAGGGUAGCUAAUACCUCAUAGUCUCCGAUUUAUUCGGAGUAAAGAUUUAUCGCUUCGGGAGGGGCCUGCGUCCGAUUAGCUAGUUGGUGAGGUAAAUGCUCACCAAGGUGACGAUCGGUAGCUGGUUUGAGAGGAUGACCAGUCACACUGGGACUGAGAUACGGCCCAGACUCCUACGGGAGGCAGCAGUAAGGAAUCUUCCACAAUGGGGGCAACCCUGAUGGAGCAAUACCGCGUGCAGGAUGAAGCGUUUCGGCGUGUAAACUGCUUUUAUCUGUGAUGAUUAUGACAGUAGCAGAAGAAUAAGGAUCGGCUAACUACGUG
RNAcentral lists this ribosomal RNA (405 nucleotides) under uncultured bacterium. Its description in RNAcentral is "bacterial SSU rRNA". It matches the Rfam family "Bacterial small subunit ribosomal RNA", at positions 67 to 507 of the family's 1533-position model. The record is from RNAcentral.